Long non-coding RNA from Brienomyrus brachyistius, 1529 nucleotides. RefSeq lists it as uncharacterized. The record is from RefSeq and is a predicted model, not a curated record. The transcript is spliced from 3 exons. NCBI's taxonomy places the organism in Eukaryota, Metazoa, Chordata, Actinopteri, Osteoglossiformes, Mormyridae.
AACACACACACACACAAACACACACACACACACACACACACAAACACACACACACACACACACACACACACACAGACAUACAGUCACAAGGGCAACCACAGGAAUAAUGCAACAGUCCUGCUUUUCCCUCAUUGUUUGCUCCGCACCCAGGAAAGACUGUGGCGUGUGCCAAGGGCAGUGGACCAGGGCUGCCUCACCGAUAAAGGAUCCCAUCCGACCGGAUCCAGAACGCAACAGGCCUCCGCUGAGCUAGAAGAGACAUUCCGGGGAGAUUAAAAAAAAAAGCGAUCGGACCAGCCCUGCGACAAACCCUGUGCUCACUGCAGGCGACAACCUUCCAGGUUCCAAAUAACACCAGAAAGUAGAGGCUGCUUCUACUUCUCAGUCUGCAACUUCAGCAAAAGCCAGGAUCUGCCAAAGUAGCAAAAAAAAAAAACAAAAAAAAAAACCCUAACCCUCCCAAGGUACUCCUAGAGAUUCUGGAAUAAGGGAUAUGAAGCUAUUGUCAUUCACGCUGGCAAAUCUGCGCUCUUAGAAUCUUACAGAAUGUUAUCAGAUCGUUAUUAAAUUGUUAUCCGGUGAAACAUUGAGUGAUAAUUACCCGAGAUUGUUCCCUGCUAUUAAAGUAAGGAGUACCAAUCCCUAGUCAGUGACGUUUGGAAUGAAGUCUUUUUGAGUUACUUUACUUAAGUUUGUUUUUACAAAUGUAUUAUUUAGAUGGAGUGGGGCUGCACAGGAGUCUGCUCUGCAUUCUGCAGCUUCAGAGUCGCCCGUGUAAUCAGUGAGUCUGUCUGAUUUCUGCCAGGUGUCCACACUACAAACCUCCAGAGCGCGAAUGUACAUCAAACAGGAGGCAUGCACCAAAAGGGCCGCCGCUCUGGUUUCAUCAGCUAUCAAAAUCCACCUCAGUGGCUCGUUGUUUUAUUUGAUUGCUGAUUUGCGUAAUAUGGUGUCGUCUGUAUGUUUUUCCCAGCAACUUCAAUGUGUCGGAAACAAGCUGGCACUGCCAAAGAAUUUAACUGAUUUUCCAUUGGGAGAUGCAGGUUCGGGUCCUGAAUAGAAACGCUGCUGUUUGACCACUGAGCAGAUCUGGCAAAUUGUUGCAAAUACGGUGAUGUGGUGGAUAGACUGUACUCUGGCUGAGUUGCUCUACAAGGGUCCACUGAAGAAUAAACAGGUAAUUUGAGCCCUGAGAGAUUGAUGUUUACCAAACUCCCUUUGGUCUGGAGUUUAUAUUUGUAUCUGCCGCUCAACACUGCACAAGACUGGCAUAGCAGAGAGGAGUCACUCACCCAUAAUGCCCCUGUUGGUACGACCUCAUUUCAGGAAUGACAUGAAAUCAGACUGUAGGCCGUACCAAGUGUGUCCACCGUCCCAGGGGUGAUACUGUCACCCCUGCUUUCCAAAUAAUUGACAUAAUUACAAUCCCAUGAUGUCAUGCCAAGCCUUUUAAAUAUUUGACGAAGCACCUCGUGCAGACCGGAGCUGGACUUUAAAAUGUCUGUAAAAUGUGCAUUAAGGGCCUUCAG